RNAcentral lists this unclassified non-coding RNA (295 nucleotides) under uncultured Zasmidium. RNAcentral's name for it is "sequence contains ITS1". The stretch from base 1 to 105 matches the Rfam family "5.8S ribosomal RNA", at positions 50 to 154 of the family's 154-position model. Lineage: Eukaryota; Fungi; Ascomycota; Dothideomycetes; Mycosphaerellales; Mycosphaerellaceae. The record is from RNAcentral.
GAAAUGCGAUAAGUAAUGUGAAUUGCAGAAUUCAGUGAAUCAUCGAAUCUUUGAACGCACAUUGCGCCCCCUGGUAUUCCGGGGGGCAUGCCUGUCCGAGCGUCAUUACACCAAUCGAGCCUGGCUCGGUAUUGGGCGUCGCGGGUCUCGACCCGCGCGCCUUAAAGUCUCACCGGCUGAGCGACCCGUCUCCAAGCGUUGUGGCAACUAUUCGCGGGAGGGACGGGCGGCGUGGCCGUUAAACACCCCAUCAAAGGUUGACCUCGGAUCAGGUAGGGAUACCCGCUGAACUUAA